Long non-coding RNA from Mesocricetus auratus (golden hamster), 603 nucleotides. RefSeq annotates it as ribosomal protein S24. The transcript is spliced from 7 exons. The record is from RefSeq and is a predicted model, not a curated record. NCBI's taxonomy places the organism in Eukaryota, Metazoa, Chordata, Mammalia, Rodentia, Cricetidae.
ACCCGGGUCCUUCCGUGCGCGUUGAUAUGAUUGGCCGUCCGAGAGCGGUCCUCUUUUCCUCCUUUGCAGCUGGGGCACCGUAGCCAUCAUGAAUGACACAGUAACGAUCCGGACCAGGAAGUUCAUGACAAACCGUCUGCUUCAGAGGAAACAGAUGGUCAUUGAUGUCCUUCACCCUGGGAAGGCAACAGUACCAAAGACAGAAAUUCGGGAAAAGCUGGCCAAAAUGUACAAAACCACGCCAGACGUCAUCUUUGUGUUCGGAUUCAGAACCCACUUUGGUGGUGGCAAAACGACUGGCUUCGGCAUGAUCUAUGAUUCUCUAGAUUAUGCAAAGAAGAAUGAGCCCAAACACAGACUUGCAAGACAUGGCCUUUAUGAGAAGAAAAAGACGUCCCGAAAACAGCGAAAGGAACGCAAGAACAGAAUGAAGAAGGUCAGGGGAACUGCAAAGGCCAACGUUGGUGCUGGCAAAAAGCAGAAAUGAAAUAACUAGCAGUGAGUGGAGAUUGGAUACAGCCAAAGGAGUAGAUCUGCUGCGGUGACUUGAUCUGCUGUGGUGUGCAGAUUUCCGAGAGGACAAAUAAACUAAACAUUUAUGUA